GAUGAACGCUGGCGGCGUGCUUAACACAUGCAAGUCGAACGAACCUUCGGGUUAGUGGCGGACGGGUGAGUAACGCGUGGGAAUCUGCCCUCAGGAGGGGGAUAACGGGUUGGAAACGGCCGCUAAUACCCCAUAUGCCGAGAGGUGAAAUGAAUUUCGCCUGAGGAUGAGCCCGCGUCUGAUUAGCUAGUUGGUGAGGUAAGAGCUCACCAAGGCAUCGAUCAGUAGCUGGUCUGAGAGGAUGAUCAGCCACACUGGGACUGAGACACGGCCCAGACUCCUACGGGAGGCAGCAGUGGGGAAUUUUCCGCAAUGGGCGAAAGCCUGACGGAGCAACGCCGCGUGAGGGAUGAAGGCCUCUGGGCUGUAAACCUCUUUUAUCAAGGAAGAAGAUCUGACGGUACUUGAUGAAUAAGCCACGGCUAAUUCCGUG
RNAcentral lists this ribosomal RNA (433 nucleotides) under uncultured bacterium. RNAcentral's name for it is "bacterial SSU rRNA". It matches the Rfam family "Bacterial small subunit ribosomal RNA", at positions 28 to 507 of the family's 1533-position model. The record is from RNAcentral.